ACAAGGUUGAGCUGUGACGUGGAGCCCGUAGGGCGAAGCACCGGAUUUCACGCUGCCAAGAAAAGCCUCUAGUGAGGAGGUCGGCGCCAGUACCGCAAACCGACACAGGUAGGCGAGAUGAGAAUUCUAAGACGCGCGGGAUAACUCUCGUUAAGGAACUCGGCAAAAUGGUCCCGUAACUUCGGGAGAAGGGACGCUUAUGGCAACAUAAGCCGCAGUGAAUAGGCCCAAACGACUGUUUAGCAAAAACACAGGUCUCUGCUAAAUCGCAAGAUGAAGUAUAGGGGCUGACGCCUGCCCGGUGCUGGAAGGUUAAGGGGAUGUGUCAUCGCAAGAGAAGCACUGAACCGAAGCCCCAGUAAACGGCGGCCGUAACUAUAACGGUCCUAAGGUAGCGAAAUUCCUUGUCGGGUAAGUUCCGACCCGCACGAAAGGCGUAACGAUUUGGGCACUGUCUCAACGAGAGACCCGGUGAAAUCAUAGUACCUGUGAAGAUGCAGGUUACCCGCGACAGGACGGAAAGACCCCAUGGAGCUUUACUACAGCCUGAUAUUGAGGCUUUGUACGCGAUGUACAGGAUAGGUGGGAGUUUGUGAAGCCGGAGCGCCAGCUUCGGUGGAGACACCCUUGGGAUACCACCCUUUGCGUAUAGAGUCUCUAACUCGCAGCCGUGAUCCGGCUGGAGGACCGUGUCAGGCGGGUAGUUUGACUGGGGCGGUCGCCUCCUAAACAGUAACGGAGGCGCCCAAAGGUUCCCUCAGAAUGGUUGGAAAUCAUUCGAAGAGUGCAAAGGCAGAAGGGAGCUUGACUGCGAGACCUACAAGUCGAGCAGGGACGAAAGUCGGGCUUAGUGAUCCGGUGGUUCCGCAUGGAAGGGCCAUCGCUCAACGGAUAAAAGCUACCCUGGGGAUAACAGGCUGAUCUCCCCCAAGAGUCCACAUCGACGGGGAGGUUUGGCACCUCGAUGUCGGCUCAUCGCAUCCUGGGGCUGGAGUAGGUCCCAAGGGUUGGGCUGUUCGCCCAUUAAAGCGGUACGCGAGCUGGGUUCAGAACGUCGUGAGACAGUUCGGUCCCUAUCCGUCGUGGGCGCAGGAAAUUUGAGGAGAGCUGUCCUUAGUACGAGAGGACCGGGAUGGACGCACCGCUGGUGUACCAGUUGUUCCGCCAGGAGCACCGCUGGGUAGCUACGUGCGGACGGGAUAAGUGCUGAAAGCAUCUAAGCAUGAAGCCCCCUCCGAGAUGAGAUUUCCCUUUGAGCAAUCAAGAAAGACCCCUCAGAGACGAUGAGGUAGAUAGGUCAUGGGUGGAAGCGUGGCGACACGUGGAGCUGAAUGAUACUAAUCGGUCGAGGCUUUGAUCU
This 1360-nucleotide ribosomal RNA is filed under the name Salmonella enterica subsp. enterica serovar Typhi. RNAcentral's name for it is "bacterial LSU rRNA". It matches the Rfam family "Bacterial large subunit ribosomal RNA", at positions 1550 to 2925 of the family's 2925-position model. The record is from RNAcentral. Lineage: Bacteria; Pseudomonadati; Pseudomonadota; Gammaproteobacteria; Enterobacterales; Enterobacteriaceae.